Non-coding RNA from Gambusia affinis (western mosquitofish), 538 nucleotides. NCBI's taxonomy places the organism in Eukaryota, Metazoa, Chordata, Actinopteri, Cyprinodontiformes, Poeciliidae. The record is from the annotation of a RefSeq genome assembly.
AGGAGCUGAUCUGUUCCUGAUCUCUAUAGAAACUCAAACUUCCUCCAUCAGUUCAGUUCAACUCUCCAACAGUAACUCUGAUCAACAUGGAUUAUUAUGGUCUGUUUCUGCUCAUCGUCUCUCUGCUAACAGGUGUCAGAUGUGAUGAACUCAGACCCAUGAAGAUCGAACUGUUCAGCUUCGAAAGCAGCUCUGUGAAUCUGUCCUACAGUUUAUCCAGAGAAGUUCGAAGCAACGACUAUUUCUACUGGUACCGUCAGAACCCAGGAGAACCUCCAGAGGUUCUGAUCUCCCACUCUGCUUCAGGAGCUGAAGGGGUUAAAAAAGUUUCUGAGCUGAAGAUUGACGUGAGGAAAACCCAGAUGGACCUGCUGAUCUCCUCUGCUGCAGUGACAGAUUCUGCUGUGUACUACUGCGCUCUGCAGCCCACAGUGACAGGAAACACCAGAACCCUGUACAAGAACCUGCAGUACUCCACAGCAGCCACCAGAGGGCCUCACUCACAUGUUUUCGUUCUUUCUUGAUUUAACAGAGAAUA